This 424-nucleotide ribosomal RNA is filed under the name uncultured bacterium. RNAcentral's name for it is "partial 16S ribosomal RNA". It matches the Rfam family "Bacterial small subunit ribosomal RNA", at positions 360 to 776 of the family's 1533-position model. The record is from RNAcentral.
AAUAUGGGACAAUGGGCGAAAGCCUGUUCUAGCCAUGCCGCGUGUGUGAAAAAGAUUAUCGGUUUGUAAAGCACUUUAAGGUGAGAGGAGGGGAGGGAGAUAAAUACUCUGCAAUUUUGAAAUUACCGACAGAAGAUACACCGGCAAACGUCGAGUCAGAAGCCGCGGUAAGACGAAGGGUGCAAGCGUUAAUCGGAAUUACUGGGCGUAAAGCGCGCGUAGGUGGUUCGUUAAGUUGGAUGUGAAAGCCCCGGGCUCAACCUGGGAACUGCAUCCAAAACUGGCGAGCUAGAGUACGGUAGAGGGUAGUGGAAUUUCCUGUGUAGCGGUGAAAUGCGUAGAUAUAGGAAGGAACACCAGUGGCGAAGGCGACCACCUGGACUGGUACUGACACUGAGGUGCGAAAGCGUGGGGAGCAAACAGG